GCUCGCCUAGCUCAGUUGGUUAGAGUGCUUGCAUGACAUGCAAGAUGUCGCUGGUUCGAGUCCAGCGGCGAGCACCA
RNAcentral lists this transfer RNA (77 nucleotides) under Photobacterium kishitanii. RNAcentral's name for it is "tRNA-Val". It matches the Rfam family "tRNA". From Rfam's summary of the family: Transfer RNA (tRNA) molecules are approximately 80 nucleotides in length. Their secondary structure includes four short double-helical elements and three loops (D, anti-codon, and T loops). Further hydrogen bonds mediate the characteristic L-shaped molecular structure. tRNAs have two regions of fundamental functional importance: the anti-codon, which is responsible for specific mRNA codon recognition, and the 3' end, to which the tRNAs corresponding amino acid is attached (by aminoacyl-tRNA synthetases). tRNAs cope with the degeneracy of the genetic code in two manners: having more than one tRNA (with a specific anti-codon) for a particular amino acid; and 'wobble' base-pairing, i.e. permitting non-standard base-pairing at the 3rd anti-codon position. The record is from RNAcentral. Lineage: Bacteria; Pseudomonadati; Pseudomonadota; Gammaproteobacteria; Vibrionales; Vibrionaceae.